GAUGAACGCUGGCGGCGUGCCUAAUACAUGCAAGUCGAGCGAACAGACGAGGAGCUUGCUCCUCUGACGUUAGCGGCGGACGGGUGAGUAACACGUGGAUAACCUACCUAUAAGACUGGGAUAACUUCGGGAAACCGGAGCUAAUACCGGAUAAUAUAUUGAACCGCAUGGUUCAAUAGUGAAAGACGGUUUUGCUGUCACUUAUAGAUGGAUCCGCGCCGCAUUAGCUAGUUGGUAAGGUAACGGCUUACCAAGGCAACGAUGCGUAGCCGACCUGAGAGGGUGAUCGGCCACACUGAGACUGAGACACGGUCCAGACUCCUACGGGAGGCAGCAGUAGGGAAUCUUCCGCAAUGGGCGAAAGCCUGACGGAGCAACGCCGCGUGAGUGAUGAAGGUCUUCGGAUCGUAAAACUCUGUUAUUAGGGAAGAACAAAUGUGUAAGUAACUAUGCACGUCUUGACGGUACCUAAUCAGAAAGCCACGGCUAACUACGUG
This 497-nucleotide ribosomal RNA is filed under the name uncultured bacterium. RNAcentral describes it as "partial 16S ribosomal RNA". It matches the Rfam family "Bacterial small subunit ribosomal RNA", at positions 28 to 507 of the family's 1533-position model. The record is from RNAcentral.